This 2346-nucleotide long non-coding RNA is filed under the name Mus musculus (house mouse). RNAcentral's name for it is "long non-coding RNA chr1:191285147-191287493". Lineage: Eukaryota; Metazoa; Chordata; Mammalia; Rodentia; Muridae. The record is from RNAcentral.
AUUGCUUAGCUAACCAAUAAAAAUACAAAAGGAAGAAGAAAAAUGGGACAUGCACACACACAAGCAUAAAAGAAAGGAAAAACAUAGGUUUCUGCCAAGUUACUGCACUAUACCGUUCCCACCCCUGGAGCAGAGCCAACUUAAGGCUUGUUUAUAUAAUAAUGUACAUAAUUCACUUUAUGUUCCUCCUUCAGGAGAUGUUCUCCCUGCUAAGGUAAAUGACUCCAUGAUAAUAUAAACAACAACAGUCUGGAAGGUGAGGGUGUGUCUAAUGUCCUUAGCAAAAUGGUAACCACUGUGACCUUUAGGACAGUCCUUAAGUCUGUAGGAAAGAACUCUGAAGAAAACAUGAAUGAGAUAUAGAUAGAUAGAUAGAUAGAUAGAUAGAUAGAUAGAUAUGAUUUCUCAAUUAUGCAAAAUAUAAGGAUGCAAUAUGAAUUAUAUGAGGGGCUUCACAAACCUAAAAUAACAGAGGCAGCUGCACUCUGAGCCAGCUUGUCAGAAAGAUAUUAAGGAGAUGAAGAAAUUUGGGGAGUGGUGAUAGCAUGGCAAGAUCCCACUCAGCUAAGUUUAUUGUUUGUGCUUACAAAGGCAGGCAGAUUCCUGAGUUCAAGGUCAGCCUGGGACAGAGCUAGUUUAGGCCCAGCGGGGUAGGAAUGGUGAUCUCAGAGUUGGAUCCCACCCAGCUAGUUUAUUGUCUAUGCUUACAAAGGCAGGAAGAUCCCUGAGUUCAUUGCUAUGUUUUAAAAAAAAUAAUGUACCUGCUGUCUUUCUAAGAAUCAAGGGGAUAGGGACAUAAAGUGUUGAUUCAUGGGAUAAUCAAAAGGGAAACUGGGGUGGACUAUUGAAUUAAUACAUAAAUAAAAGCCCAUACAUGGGCUUUGGUCUGCAAGAGAUAGCUACCCAGAGAGAUCUGCUUGGAGAGCGAACACAGCUCUUUUAGAAUUUUUUUUCUAGCAAGAACAGAGCUAUCUGGAGAGCUGUCUCAAGCAAAACAUGAGGCUGUCAGCUUGCACCCCCACCUCACUGAACUCAGGUCCUCUUGCUUAACCUCUGAACCACCUCUCCAGGUUUCACCGAAGUUGCCCAGGUAAAUUUGUACUUGGUAAUCCUCCUGCCUCAGGAUCCAGAGGAGCCAGGAUUACAGGCCUGUACCACCAAGAUUAUCUUAAUUUGGUCACAUUCGAUGCUACCUAAAAUUAGGGAGAGCCCAUGGUUAAGGCCAAAUACGGAUCCCUUUACCCCUUCUUCACCAUGGUCGUCAUUUUCUUGUCCCUGCGGAGACUUCCUGUGGUUGCUUUCCUUUCUCCUUCCCGCCCCAGCUGUCUCCUUUUGGAUGGCAACAUCCAGUUUAUCUUGAUUUUGUUGAAUGGAUCCUGGUGGCCCAGGGGACCAGUGUUAGGUGGGUGAUCAGUAAAAGCCACAUCUCCCUGCCUUUACUCUCUCUCCCCAGAAAAGCAUUGAGGGCUAAAUGGCUUCCUGAUAUGUGAUCCCUGGUGGGAUCCAGCAUGAGGUCACUUACAAAGGACAGAGGGACAUCCUCAGGAGAGGGCAUUGCUGACUUUGCUCAUGUUUGGGUUCCUUCCUGUGUGGGGUGUCCCCAAGGUCACCUUCUUGGGCCCACGCAUGUCCCAGGCUUAACCCACGGCUGCUUAUGUUUCAUGCCGUGGGCCUGGCCCAGCAUCUUUCAGCACAAGCCAAUAACCACUGUCACAGCAGUCAUGACAUGGGUGCCCUAACAAAUGGAGUGGCUGUGAGUCUCCAGCUGCCUGGCCUCCACCCAGUGUUAUUGAUUAAGAUGUAUAGUGGGUCAUCCAAUAGACCAGACCAAGAGCCAUACAACUGAAUAGAAACCAAGCAAGCAGAGAGCCCCACACAGACUGGAUUGCCUCACUGCCAGCAUGUCAGAGCAGCUCUCCAGAGAGGAUGCCUCUGAGCUGUCGUGAUAAACAGUCCCUUACUUUACCCUGGCCUGAUUUAAGCAGUUGCCUUGCUGUUGUUCUGUUUCCUGUUCCUGCCCGAGCUGUGUUACAAAGCCUCACUAGUAAGUGGAACAUCCUCUAUUGGAGCACAUUGCUGCCUGCUUGAUGCAGCAUUAUUAAAGCCAAUUAGGUCUGUGUGCUGGUUGGUAUAUGCUUGGUCCCAGGAAAGGCACUAUUAGGAGGUAUGGUCUUGUUGGAGUAGGUGUAGCCUUGUUGGAGGAAAUAUGUCAUUAGGGGGGACCCUCCUCCUAGCUGCCUGGAAGCCAAUUUCUCCUGUCUGCCUUCAGAACAAGAUAUAGAACUCUCAGCAUCUCCAGUGCCAUGUCUGCCCAUGCUUCCUGCCAUGAUGAUAAACAACUGAACC